This 253-nucleotide ribosomal RNA is filed under the name uncultured bacterium. RNAcentral describes it as "partial 16S ribosomal RNA". It matches the Rfam family "Bacterial small subunit ribosomal RNA", at positions 524 to 776 of the family's 1533-position model. The record is from RNAcentral.
UACGUAGGGGGCGAGCGUUGUCCGGAUUUACUGGGCGUAAAGCGCACGCAGGCGGUCUGCUAAGUUUGGAGUGACAGUUGGUGGCUUAACUGCCAAAGUGCUUCGAAAACUGACAGACUUGAGGGCUUCAGAGGGACACGGAAUUCCGAGUGUAGGGGUGAAAUUCGUAGAUAUUCGGAAGAACACCAGUGGCGAAGGCGACUCGCUGGACACGUAUUGACGCUGAGGUGCGAAAGCGUGGGGAGCAAACAGG